Molecule: ribosomal RNA, 490 nt
Filed under: uncultured bacterium
Lineage: Bacteria
Description: partial 16S ribosomal RNA
Rfam family: Bacterial small subunit ribosomal RNA
Source: RNAcentral
GAUGAACGCUAGCUACGGGCUUAACACAUGCAAGUCGCGGGGCAGCAUGGGGGUUGCUUGCAAUCCCCGAUGGCGACCGGCGCACGGGUGAGUAACGCGUAUCCAACCUGCCCUUCACCACGGGAUAACCCGGCGAAAGUCGGACUAAUACCGUAUGUUGUCCAUUGACGGCAUCCGAUUUGGACGAAAGGUUUGGCGGUGAAGGAUGGGGAUGCGUCCGAUUGGCUGGACGGCGGGGUGACGGCCCACCGUGGCGACGAUCGGUAGGGGUUCUGAGAGGAAGGUCCCCCACACUGGAACUGAGACACGGUCCAGACUCCUACGGGAGGCAGCAGUGAGGAAUAUUGGUCAAUGGGCGUAAGCCUGAACCAGCCAAGUAGCGUGCAGGAUGACGGCCCUAUGGGUUGUAAACUGCUUUUAUGCGGGGAUAAAGUGGCCCACGUGUGGGUUUUUGCAGGUACCGCAUGAAUAAGGACCGGCUAAUUCCGUG